GGUGGUUCUCGGGUGACACACCCCGGAAUCGGGCUCCCUCCUCUCUGGUCCCGGUGCGUCACCUGAGAACCGCA
Non-coding RNA from Myotis lucifugus (little brown bat), 74 nucleotides. NCBI's taxonomy places the organism in Eukaryota, Metazoa, Chordata, Mammalia, Chiroptera, Vespertilionidae. The record is from Rfam.